Molecule: ribosomal RNA, 253 nt
Filed under: uncultured bacterium
Lineage: Bacteria
Description: partial 16S ribosomal RNA
Rfam family: Bacterial small subunit ribosomal RNA
Source: RNAcentral
UACGUAGGGUGCGAGCGUUGUCCGGAAUUAUUGGGCGUAAAGGGCUCGUAGGCGGUUUGUCGCGUCGGGAGUGAAAACACCGGGCUUAACUCGGUGCUUGCUUUCGAUACGGGCAGACUAGAGGCAUGCAGGGGAGAACGGAAUUCCUGGUGUAGCGGUGAAAUGCGCAGAUAUCAGGAAGAACACCUAUGGCGAAGGCAGCUCUCUGGGACGGUACUGACGCUGAGACGCGAAAGCGUGGGGAGCGAACAGG